Molecule: ribosomal RNA, 1188 nt
Filed under: Triticum aestivum (bread wheat)
Lineage: Eukaryota; Viridiplantae; Streptophyta; Magnoliopsida; Poales; Poaceae
Description: partial small subunit ribosomal RNA
Source: RNAcentral
AUGUCGUCGUUCGCCGGUGUGUCCGUAGUCGACGGCGACAAGGAGUGCUCUUGCGACACAUCGGCCGUCCACGCCGGCACCGACAACGGGUAUCACCUGCUCGUGGUUAGGGGCUACCCGGGUACAGCAGAGGGGUCACCCACCGGCGACAGCAUCACCACCGGUAUUUUCAUGGUAGGAGGCUAUUAUUGGUACAUCCAGUACUACCCUAACGGCUUAAACCCGGAUUGCGCCGACUACAUUUCCCUCUAUGUAGCCCUUGUCUACGACAACGACGAUGCCGAGCGUGGCCUGGCCGUGGAGGCCAAGUUCAGUUUCAGUCUCGUCGACCAUGUUGAGAAGCAGAAUCCAGUGUACAUUUGUGAAGCUAACAAGACUUGCACCUUCUCCAGCAGUGCUACUUCGUGGGGACGCAACAAGUUUCUGAGAAGAGAUGCCCUCGAAUGGUCAUCGGAUUUGAAGGGUGGUUGUUUCACCAUCCGGUGCGACAUCAUGGUUGUUUGCCAGGAUUCCAAAACCGAGGACGCCGGUCGCACCCUGUCUGGCAUACACCACCAUUUUAACAACCUUUUGCAGACCAAGGUGGGUGCUGAUGUGACAUUUGAGGUCAGUGGCGAGAGGUUCGCUGCACACCGGUGCGUGCUUGCAGCCAGGUCUAAAGUAUUCAUGGCACAACUCUUUGGCCCCAUGAAGGAGGGCACCACUACAUCGACCGUCAUAGAGAUCAAAGACAUGGAAGCAAAAGUGUUCAGGGCUUUGCUUAUCUUCAUCUACACAGAUGUGUUUCCCUUGCCCUUGAGAGAGGAGGACAGAAUGGGGGAGGAUGAAAUGUCAGUAAUUAUGGAAGAAGUAAAAGAAGUGGAAGCAGUACAGGAUGAAUUGAGGCUGCAAUGUUUGCAACACUUGUUUGUGGCAGCAGACAGAUAUGAUCUCCAACAGCUCAAGUUCAUCUGUGAACAACAGCUGUCUGAACACAUAGGUGUGACCUCGGUGAUGUCCACUCUUGCUCUAGCCGAGCAGCACCACUGCCAGGGAUUGAAGGAGGCAUGCUUCAAGUUUAUCCAGAUCCAGUCUCCCUCGUGCUUGCAAACAGUAAUGUCGACUAAUGGCUGGGACCAUGUAUAUACGACCUAUCCCUCGGUUUUUAAGGAGUUCAUUGCCAACCUUGCUUCAAACCAGCAGAAGUAA